CAUAAAGUUUUAAUCCCUUUUCAAAUAAGCACAAGCCUUUUUUUUUUUUUAGCCUUUCUUUUUAUUCAAAAAUGAAAGUAAAGAACUUUUUCAUCUAUUUAUAGUAAAAUUGCUUUCUGGAAUAAAAAUAGUGCGCAUUAUAUUGUCGAUACCUUAUGAAGAGUUUUUUUUUUAUUAUCACAUUACAUACGGAUCAUUUAUUCCUGUUUUCAGUUUAAAUCAUCCGUUUGCAAUGAAUAUAUUAAAUAUUUACCAAGUAGCUUAUACUAUAGAAGUACAAAAAAAAAGUAAAUUUAAAAAAAAUUAUUGUAGUGAAUUUUGUCUAAGAAUUAAUUGAAAAGAAAACAUAACUAAUUAAUAUGUAAUAAGAAUAAUAGAGAAAUGUUGAAGUGUAAAACUGUUACCUGUGUUUGUGAAACGUUGUGUUGUCAAACGAGGAGGAACCAAAUAUGUAUUAAAUUGAUGUGUAUGAAAAUUUAAUUCUAUUGCAAAUCUCUUACCAAUCAAAUUUAGGAAAUAUAUUUAAAUUUGAAAAAUAUCAUAAUUAUGUAUACUUAUAGUAUUUACAUUUAUAAAUAUAAUUAUUCUUCUACUAAUUUUAAUUUUUUCUAAUUGAUAUAUUUUUUUUGACAAGAUUGUAAACUAAAUUCUACAAUUUCAUACACACCAAUUUAACAAAUGGAGGAUCAUAGAUAAAUUAUUAAAGAUUUGUACCUGUAUCUGUUCGAAGGGUACCUCAAACGUGAAUGAUUCGUUGUAAUACGGAUUAAGAGUGCAUUUUUUGAUAGACGUUUUCUUCUUCUUCAACCUUUUGCCAUUUUGCAUCAGGGCGAUUUUUACGUAAGGAUCUGAUAAACCACCGACGUCCAUUUUCUUCAGAUUUUUCGCUUCCAAGAUGACCACGGUUAAUUUACCAGCAGUCGAAAAACAAAAUUAAUCCAGUUCAAAUUUACCUGACCACCUUCACCCUCGACGCUUUGCAAUUCUCUCCAUUCCUCGAUCGUCUGAGCCAGAUCGACUUGGCAUAACGGAACCUUGACUUCACCGAUCUGAUCGUGUUUGGAGAACCUAUCGAAGUCGAAGAUGGCGAAAACGAGAGUUUUGUUCAUCGCAUCCGCAUAAGCUUCAUCCGGUUCUUCGGCAUUGUCGGUAAGCUCUUCCAUAUCCGGCUGGACCUUAACAAAUCGAAGUGGAUUCCACGAGUGUAGAAUGUGCGUCUAAUAUCUACAUGAAGUCAUGGAACACGAUUACGUACCUUGUCCUUGUACGUGCUGCCCAAUAGUUGAACAGAUUUCAAGUCCACCGCCCCCUUCAAUCCUUUCUUCCCAUCUUUGGAUCGCCUUUUGCGACAGCAUCUUCUGAUGCAGCAGAAGCAGAUUCCGAGAACUACUACGCUUACAGCUA
Apis mellifera (honey bee) is the source of this 1404-nucleotide long non-coding RNA. RefSeq lists it as uncharacterized. Lineage: Eukaryota; Metazoa; Arthropoda; Insecta; Hymenoptera; Apidae. The transcript has 3 exons. The record is from RefSeq and is a predicted model, not a curated record.